Molecule: transfer RNA, 61 nt
Filed under: Neoseiulus womersleyi
Lineage: Eukaryota; Metazoa; Arthropoda; Arachnida; Mesostigmata; Phytoseiidae
Description: tRNA-Arg
Source: RNAcentral
AAUAAAAAAGCAAAAUUUGCAAUUGUUUUCGACACAAUCCUUGACUAAUAAUCUUUUAUUA